RNAcentral lists this ribosomal RNA (1400 nucleotides) under Legionella pneumophila. RNAcentral describes it as "partial 23S ribosomal RNA". It matches the Rfam family "Bacterial large subunit ribosomal RNA", at positions 1544 to 2925 of the family's 2925-position model. Lineage: Bacteria; Pseudomonadati; Pseudomonadota; Gammaproteobacteria; Legionellales; Legionellaceae. The record is from RNAcentral.
UUUUCCGAUACUCUGAGGUGCGAAGUGGUUCUGACCUUUUGGUACAGAGAAGUCAUUGAUGCCCGGCUUCCAGGAAAAGCUGCUAGCCAUAACUUAUAGAGAACCGUACCGCAAACCGACACAGGUGGACAGGUAGAGAAUACUAAGGCGCUUGAGAGAACUCGGGUGAAGGAACUAGGCAAAAUGGUACCGUAACUUCGGGAGAAGGUACGCCCUUUCUGGUGAUGGGAUUUACUUUCAGAGCUGGAGAGGGCCGCAGAGACCAGGUGGCUGCGACUGUUUAUUAAAAACACAGCACUCUGCAAAUUCGUAAGAAGACGUAUAGGGUGUGACGCCUGCCCGGUGCCGGAAGGUUAAUUGAUGGGGUUAUCUUCGGAGAAGCUCUUGAUCGAAGCCCCGGUAAACGGCGGCCGUAACUAUAACGGUCCUAAGGUAGCGAAAUUCCUUGUCGGGUAAGUUCCGACCUGCACGAAUGGCGUAACGAUGGCCACACUGUCUCCACCCGAGACUCAGUGAAAUUGAAAUCGCUGUGAAGAUGCAGUGUACCCGCGGCUAGACGGAAAGACCCCGUGAACCUUUACUAUAGUUUUGCACUGGACUUUGAUGAUGACUGUGUAGGAUAGGUGGGAGGCUGUGAAGUGAGGACGCUAGUUCUCAUGGAGCCGCCCUUGAAAUACCACCCUGUUGUUAUUGAGGUUCUAACUUGGUCCAGUAAUCCUGGAUGAGGACAGUGUAUGAUGGGUAGUUUGACUGGGGCGGUCUCCUCCCAAAGAGUAACGGAGGAGCACAAAGGUACCCUCGGUACGGUCGGACAUCGUACCAAGAGUGUAAAGGCAAAAGGGUGCUUGACUGCGAGAGUGACGGCUCGAGCAGGAACGAAAGUUGGUCUUAGUGAUCCGGUGGUUCUGAAUGGAAGGGCCAUCGCUCAACGGAUAAAAGGUACUCCGGGGAUAACAGGCUGAUACCGCCCAAGAGUUCAUAUCGACGGCGGUGUUUGGCACCUCGAUGUCGGCUCAUCACAUCCUGGGGCUGAAGCAGGUCCCAAGGGUAUGGCUGUUCGCCAUUUAAAGUGGUACGCGAGCUGGGUUUAGAACGUCGUGAGACAGUUCGGUCCCUAUCUGCCGUGGGCGUAGGAAAAUUGAGAGGAGCUGCUCCUAGUACGAGAGGACCGGAGUGGACGAACCUCUGGUGCACCGGUUGUCACGCCAGUGGCAUGGCCGGGUAGCUAAGUUCGGACGGGAUAACCGCUGAAAGCAUCUAAGCGGGAAGCCUCCCUCAAGAUGAGUUUUCCCAUGAAGCCCGUUGAAGACUACGACGUUGAUAGGCAAGGUGUGGAAGCGCAGUAAUGUGUGAAGCUAACUUGUACUAAUUGGCUGAUUGUCUUGACCAUAUAAUCUGAG